This 429-nucleotide ribosomal RNA is filed under the name uncultured bacterium. RNAcentral's name for it is "bacterial SSU rRNA". It matches the Rfam family "Bacterial small subunit ribosomal RNA", at positions 355 to 776 of the family's 1533-position model. The record is from RNAcentral.
UGGGGAAUAUUGCACAAUGGGCGCAAGCCUGAUGCAGCCAUGCCGCGUGUAUGAAGAAGGCCUUCGGGUUGUAAAGUACUUUCAGCGAGGAGGAAGGCAUUAAGGUUAAUAACCUUAGUGAUUGACGUUACUCGCAGAAGAAGCACCGGCUAACUCCGUGCCAGCAGCCGCGGUAAUACGGAGGGUGCAAGCGUUAAUCGGAAUUACUGGGCGUAAAGCGCACGCAGGCGGUUUGUUAAGUCAGAUGUGAAAUCCCCGGGCUCAACCUGGGAACUGCAUUUGAAACUGGCAAGCUUGAGUCUUGUAGAGGGGGGUAGAAUUCCAGGUGUAGCGGUGAAAUGCGUAGAGAUCUGGAGGAAUACCGGUGGCGAAGGCGGCCCCCUGGACAAAGACUGACGCUCAGGUGCGAAAGCGUGGGGAGCAAACAGG